GCCUUACAGCCUGUGGUGGUUGCCGAAGAACUUUAAUUACAGUGUCAGAGUGUUCAGGGACAGUCCCAACUCCCUUCAUGUGAGGAUUGCAGAAAUGGGCUUGGAUCGUAUACAGACAGCGUUAUGAGGCAUUGCUGAAGAACAGAAAAGAAAAAACAACAAAGUUUCCAGCUCUUACUCUAGAUUGACACUGGACCUUGGAGAUGCUUGCAGUUUUCUAUAGGAAGGAUGUAAGAGGAAGGAAAUUCAAAUCUGUUGAGUAUUGCUCUUGCCAGCAAAAAGAAGUGGAACUGACUAGUGAGAUGGUGGUGAGAUUUUCUUUGGUGGCUGUGUGCAGUGGUAUCAACCCAGGAGAGUAGACUGUUCAAUUGUGAAGAAUUUUGCAAGAUGGUUGUUAAAGUAGAACAUCGUUAAAAUUAAGUUGUAAUAAAAAAAGGGAAAUAAGCAUUGGAAAAGAUGUGGACAGAUUGGAACCCUCAUACAUUGCUGAUGGGAAUGUAAAAUG
RNAcentral lists this long non-coding RNA (505 nucleotides) under Homo sapiens (human). RNAcentral's name for it is "HSALNT0364004". The record is from RNAcentral. Lineage: Eukaryota; Metazoa; Chordata; Mammalia; Primates; Hominidae.